Molecule: ribosomal RNA, 281 nt
Filed under: uncultured bacterium
Lineage: Bacteria
Description: partial 16S ribosomal RNA
Rfam family: Bacterial small subunit ribosomal RNA
Source: RNAcentral
AAAAACUCCGGUGGUACAGGAUGGGCCCGCGUCUGAUUAGCUAGUUGGUAAGGUAACGGCUUACCAAGGCGACGAUCAGUAGCCGACCUGAGAGGGUGAUCGGCCACAUUGGAACUGAGACACGGUCCAAACUCCUACGGGAGGCAGCAGUGGGGAAUAUUGCACAAUGGGGAAACCCUGAUGCAGCGACGCCACGUGAGCGAUGAAGUAUUUCGGUAUGUAAAGCUCUAUCAGCAGGGAAGAAACUGACGGUACCUGACUAAGAAGCACCGACUAAAUAC